UUGUCCUACGGGGGGCAGCAGGGGGGAAUCUGACGCAAUGGGCGAAAGCCGGAUGGAGCAACGCCGCGUGGGUGAAGAAGGUCUUCGGAUCGUAAAACCCUGUUGUUAGAGAAGAAAGUGCGUGAGAGUAACUGUUCACGUUUCGACGGUAUCUAACCAGAAAGCCACGGCUAACUACGUGCCAGCAGCCGCGGUAAUACGUAGGUGGCAAGCGUUAUCCGGAUUUAUUGGGCGUAAAGGGAACGCAGGCGGUCUUUUAAGUCUGAUGUGAAAGCCUUCGGCUUAACCGGCGUAGUGCAUUGGAA
Molecule: ribosomal RNA, 305 nt
Filed under: uncultured bacterium
Lineage: Bacteria
Description: bacterial SSU rRNA
Rfam family: Bacterial small subunit ribosomal RNA
Source: RNAcentral